Patella vulgata (common limpet) is the source of this 534-nucleotide long non-coding RNA. RefSeq lists it as uncharacterized. The transcript has 5 exons. Lineage: Eukaryota; Metazoa; Mollusca; Gastropoda; Patellidae. The record is from RefSeq and is a predicted model, not a curated record.
GUUGGGUGUUGUUGUUAGAAUCAUUAAUCAUUUAACAAGUCCUGAUCUAUAUAAGAUCAUCAUAAAUCGUCCACUUUACAAGCAGUUUCCUUAUCGUACAAAGAGGAUAGAAGCUAUCGACAUAUUAAGAUGAAGUUAGUAUUUGCCUUAUUAGUAGUUGUUGUAGCAGCUCUGAUGGUACCUACUGAGAGCUGGCGUGGGCGGCGGGUAUGGAGACGAUACGUUAAGCCAGCGGUUAUCUCUUCGGCUAUAAGCAGUGUUGUUGGUCGAUCGGCCGACGUUGAUCUGAUUGACUUGGCCGCUUCACUAGAAUUGGACCCCCAGUCUCCGGAAUUUGCAGCCGUAGUUCAAGCACUGGACACAGAUGGAGACGGCAAAAUCACAACUGACGAACUAGAAAAAUUAAAGAGCUUGGAGGAUUAACUAACAGAUAUGACAAAAGCAUCAAGAUCGCAUCACUGACAAAAACGUUAGAACACCAACCCAUGGAUCCAUGGUAUAACUAUACGUAUUCUAAUAAAUAAUCAAGCAGUU